AUUAAACGCUGGCGGCAUGCCUUACACAUGCAAGUCGAACGGCAGCACGGGGGCAACCCUGGUGGCGAGUGGCGAACGGGUGAGUAAAGCAUCGGAACGUGCCCUGGAGUGGGGGAUAACGUAGCGAAAGUUACGCUAAUACCGCAUAUUCUGUGAGCAGGAAAGCAGGGGACCGCAAGGCCUUGCGCUCUUUGAGCGGCCGAUGUCAGAUUAGCUAGUUGGUGAGGUAAAGGCUUACCAAGGCGACGAUUUGUAGCGGGUCUGAGAGGAUGAUCCGCCACACUGGAACUGAGACACGGUCCAGACUCCUACGGGAGGCAGCAGUGGGGAAUUUUGGACAAUGGGCGAAAGCCUGAU
Molecule: ribosomal RNA, 357 nt
Filed under: uncultured bacterium
Lineage: Bacteria
Description: bacterial SSU rRNA
Rfam family: Bacterial small subunit ribosomal RNA
Source: RNAcentral